This is an RNA transcript of Camelus dromedarius (Arabian camel), 5859 nucleotides long. It is a transcript of the gene named submaxillary gland androgen regulated protein 3B, with no coding region annotated. The transcript has 15 exons. The record is from RefSeq and is a predicted model, not a curated record. Lineage: Eukaryota; Metazoa; Chordata; Mammalia; Artiodactyla; Camelidae.
CGGCCCCGCCCCACCGGCGGAGCGUCGCAGGACGCAGGACGCAGGGCCGCGGGGGCUGUCGGGACGGCUCCAAGAUGGCUGGGCGCUUGGGUCCCGCACCUGCUGGCGGCCCCGACCCCCGUUCACUGCCACCGCUUCUGACCGGAGCUGCCAGUCGGCCCGGCGACUCCCGGGUCUGUCCCCGGGGGCAGAAGGCCGCCAUGGCGACCCUGGAAAAGCCAGUGAAGGCCUUGGAGUCCCUCAAGUCCUUCCGGCAACAGCAGCAGCCACCUCAGCCGGAACCGCCGCCGCCGCUUCAGCCUCCUCAGCCGGUACCGCCGCCGGCUCAGCCCCCUCAGCCGGUACCGCCUCAGCCCCCUCAGCGGGCGCCGCCGCCGCUCCCGCCGCCCGCCCCGCCGUGGCCCAGGAGCUGCUGCACAGACGGAAGAUUAAAAUGCAUGUUCAUAACAUCAAGAAAAUCACAAGCGUUUACGAUGUAGUCAGAACUAUCUGAGGAGCUGUGAAACCUGACAGGUGUGUUAUUCUGGGAGGUUAUCAGGACUCCUGGCUAUUUGGAGGUAUUGACCCAACCAGUGGAGCUGCUGGUUUGUAAGAAGUUGUCUAGAAUUUUGGAAAACUGAUUAGUAGAGGCUGGAGACCGAGAAGAACUACCAUGUUUGCCAGCUAGGAUGCAGAAGAAUUUGGACUUCUGGGUUCCACAAAUGGGUUGAGGAGAAUGUGAAAACACUCCAGGAGAGAGGGGUUGCAUAUAUCAAUGCAAACUCAUCCACAGAAGGCAAUUAUAUUCUCAGAGUUGACUGUACACCCCUUCUUUUCCAGUUGGUAUAUAAACUGACAAAAGAGGGUCUAUUGUUUCAUGGGGCAGAGUCUCUUUGAUAUAACAGAAAGAAUACUGAGCUGGGAUGGGGAAGCCUUGGCUGUGAAGAUUGCCUUGGCCAUUCAUUCAUUCAUUCAGUAAAGAGGCCACAGACCUGUAAAUGAGGACUCAUACUUCACUUGAAUAGUGGAUACUACAUACAGUGGAGGACAAUUAUGGAAGAGAGAAGCUAAGACCUUGGGGUAGCUGGUGAGGUUGGAAAGCAUUAGAAGGUGUUUACAGAAGGAUUAGUGGUUAGGCUAUAAAAUGGAAGGAUGUGAAAGUGGGGAGAAGGUUUCUCAUCAGAGGACACAGGACCUAAUAAAGAUGUGGAUGUGUGAAAGAACAUUUCCCGAUCUCUGGGUAAUGCAAUAUAACCUAAAUAUAAGGUGUUGGUGAAAAAGCUGGUAAGAAAUGGGACCUGACACAUAGGCCUAAAUGUUCAUAAAUCUGGUGAUGGAGAAAUUAAAGAAUCUUUAACAAGGUUGUACAUUAUCAUAUUUAUUCAUUAGAAAGAUUACUCUGUAUCAGUGCAGUGAAUAGGUUAAGCUAUAGUAAGUCUAAAAGCAAAAUGGAAGUAAUUCCACAUGCUUAUUUAGCAAACAGGAAUUUAUAACUACUAGUUAUUGAUGUAAAAAGUACUCUGAAAACUCUAAUGCACUCUGAAUCUCUAAAAAUUAUGUAAUCUACUCAUUGAGUAUAUGUGUGCUUCAUUUAAAUAAUCCCCCAUUAUAGAAUUAAGUGUAGAAAUGUUUCUUUCAAGUAGGUAUCACUUAGAUGACAGUGGGAAGUAGAUGUCACAUCUCUGUGGGUCCUGUUUCCCAGUUGCCCUUCGUCUUGCCCUGUCCUUUUCACUGUUUGUGUCUUUAACAUCUCAUCCUCCCAAGUGAGCAUCCUCCCAUGCCCAUCACAACUCCCACCAUACUGGGAAGCUUAGGUCCUUGAUACUUUUAUUGAAAUGUCCCAUAAAAACAUCUUAUCUAAAAGCACGCUGUAAGGACAGUCGCUAUUGGAGAAUCCUUCUCAGGAGAUACAUUUACACUCUGUCCUACAGAGGAGGCUCCUGCCUUUAUAGGAGGGGUAGUAAGAAUUUUAGGGCCAAGAAGGAGAAGCUUAGGUCUAUCCCCUUUGUACAUUUAUUCAAUAAGCAUUAAAUGUGUAAGUGGUUACCAUAGUGACAGGAUGAAUCAAACAUAGAUUCUGCUAUUAGGGUGUUAACUGUGUAGCUAGGAGAGACUAUGAUAAAGAAUUUUCAAAUCCAAGAUAGAGAUUAAAAUCACCAAAGUGAAUACAGAUAAAAGUGGUGUGGGAAGCCAGAAAGAAAUGUCUCAUUUUAUCAUUUUACACGUUGGAAUUAAACAGCCUGCUUAAUGGGAAAUUGCAAAAAUUUUUCCCAUUUUAAAGCCUCUUUUAUGUUAAUUUGAAUUUAAUUUUUAUGCCACUUUAGAUAUAAUGUAUUUGUCUUUCAGAGUUUUUGUUUUAGGUAGUUUUUUUUAACAGUUUAACUGGGAAAUUUAAAUGUAUCUUUAGAAGUUACAUUAUCAGGAUGAACUAACUGUCCAGAAGAGAAGAGUGAGAUUUUAUAAUCUUGUUUGAUUUGAUUGUCAGUGGAGGAAUCAGACAUCAUUCAUCUGGAGAAAUGCUAUUGGUUGCUGAAGGCUCAAUCGCGAACUGGAUGAUUUGAUUUAGAGACAUUUGGCCCAUUGGUUUCACCACCAAUUCGUCCAUCUCUGAGUGAAGGUUUAUUUGAUGCCUUUGGUGAAAAUCAUGACAGCCACAUAGAUUUUAAGGAGAUAUUCUGUGGGUUAUCAGCCUGUUGCAGAGGACCUCUGGCUGAAAGACAGAAAUGUAAGUGUGUUAAACAUCACAAAAUUUGGAAACUAUACAGAGAAAAAAAUUAGCAUUCAUUCAUGUAAAAAAUCAUUUGCUUAAGGCUUGAAUUUUCAUCACUUUGACAAAUAGCAAUCUCUUCCUGAGGUUUUACUGAGGUCAGUGUGAAGAUUCAAUCAUCUAUUCUUUUUUACUGUGGAGUAAUUUAGGAUCUUUGUUAUUAACAAUGGUUGAUUUUCCAGAUGAAUGUAUAAUUCAUGAUAAAUGAACUACAUCAGUCAUGAUGUGUUUGAAAAUGUUAAGCAUAUAGAAAAUAUUUUCUGGUAGUCUAUAUAGAAAAUUUGUCUUGCUUAACUUGAAUUCCAGCUUAUUUUCUAUCACUUGUGUGUACUGAUAUUUUAUUAGCAAAAUUAAAUUUAUGAUAAAACAUUUUUAUUAAAUACUAAAAUUGUCUUUUAAACCUAGCCAAAAUGUUAUAGUGUAAUUUAUAAGCAUAUUACAGUAAUAAAUCUUAACCGUAUUUGGAAAAAUGCAGCAGUUUACAUUUAAUUGGAACCUAAUUCUUAUAUAUUCACUAGGGUCAUUAUUUCUGCAUCUUUCUAAAAUAGAACUUCACAAAUAUUGCAUAUUUUGGGUAUGAUACUUAAUAUUUUGAUAUUCUUUAGUAAUGUUGUACUGUGAUGCACUCAGAUAAUUUAAUAGCAUAAUUAUUAUAGGAGUGUGUGAAGUAGAUAAUUAUUUAAUCUUAAAAAUUUAGAUAUCUUUUUUCUUCCCUGAUAGUAUACCAUUACUCUAACCUGGCUUUGUGAUAGAUUAUUUGUUCACAUUAAAGUUCUGAUAUUAAAGAGGCUGAAGUCUUUGUUUCUCAAUUGAGGUUAAUUAUUGCCUUAAUUUUUUUUUAAUUUAUUUUUUCCAGUGGACUAGUGGAAGUUAACCAACUAGACUAACUAGUAAUUUUGCUGAUAUUGAUAUUAACUAGCAAAGUGCUGAUAUUUUGGAUUCUUAGCUUGUUGUAUAUAAACUUCAUUGAAGAUUUGAAAUUGUUCUUUGGCAAAAACAUUGGGUGCAAGUUAACUACAUUGGAGAGCCUCUUUAUACAGUCAUCCCUCAUUAUCUGCUGAGGAUUGGUUCUGAGACCCCCUCAGAUACCAAAUCCAUGGAUGCUCAAGUCCUUAUGUAAAAUGGCAUAGUAUUUGCAUAUAACCUAUGCACAUCCUCCUGUAUACUUUAAAUCAUCUGUAGGUUACUUAUAAUAACUAAUACAAUGUAAUUAGUUGUAAAUACAAUGUAAAUGAUAUGUAAAUAGUUUUCAGUGUGUAGCAAAUUCAAGUUUUGCUUUUGAGAAGUUUCUGGGAAAUUUUUUUUUUUUUUUGAUCUGUGGUUGUUUGUAACAGGUACAGAGGGCUAACUGUACCAGCUUUUUGUUGAUUCUUAAAGUAGAUGGAAUAUUUUCAGCAUUAUAAGAAUCAACUGAUCAGUUUUAAAUAUUAGAAAUUAAUUUAAAGGCUGGAAUUACCUUCUUAAAAUCUGUGAGAUAUUGUAUAGUAACUUGGCCCUUUUUCAGUUUGCAAGAAAUUUAACUAUAGAUUUAGGUGAAGGAUAGUGUUCUCUAACCUGGCUAAUGAUAGAAGGAGAGAGACUUGUGAAGUGUACAGGACUUCCUACAAGUUCAAAGGACUUUAAUGACACAAUCUCCUCCAAAUAAGAACUUAAUCCAGAAUGUAGUUGUUUGAGGAACCAAGUAAUUUUACUAUGGCAGCUUCUAAUAAAAUGCAUUAUAUGUCAGAAUAUAAAAGUAAUUUUCCUCUGUAAGAGCCUUUAGUUUGCUUCAAGGUAUUUGACGUUGACGGUGAUGGAGUUCUCUCUAAGGUUGAACUGAGAGACACGUGGUUGCACAUUUAGAGGUCUGGAUGGACAACAGCACUGAUCAUAUCCUGGAAUUACAUGUGGAUCUAUCCAACAUUGUAGAAGACACAUUGAAUGUGCAUGACACCACAAAGGUGGUCAAGAAUAACAAGACAGAAACCCCAGAGUUGGAAUUAUUUCCUCAAUAUCUUCUCUUCCUGUGACAGCAGCCUGCCACUUGGACACAGCAGUCUAACAUCUGGAUGAAUAUGGGUAUGAUGUUCCUGAGAAUGUUUCCUCAACAUUUACCAAGAGAAUUGCCUCACUCUUCUGGAUGAUGCGGAUUGUAGAUUGGAAUAUCUGAAAAUCCAGGAUGAGCAGCACCUGGUAAUUGAAGUUUGAAAUAAAGAUAUGAGUUGGCCUGAGGAAAUGUCCUUUAUAGCAAACAGUAGUAAAAUAGAUAGACACAAGGUGGGCCAUAGCAACAUAUGCUCCCCAAUUUAAUGGGUUCCAGCAACAGGACUCCCAGGAACUUCUGGCUUUUCUCUUGGAUGGUCUUCAUGAAGAUCUCAUCUGAGUGCAUGAGAAGCCAUACGUGGAGCUGAAGGGCAGUGAUGGCCAAACAGACUGGGGUGUAGCUGCAGAGUGUGUAUUGCCUUGGAUGAUGAAACAGUCACCUGUCAGGUCCCUCUGUGUGAAGAUCUGAGAUGUCUGCUGUCUGGUCCUGAUCAUCCUGAUGCUGCCAACAAUCCAAGAUCUAAGUAUUUUCUUGCCUGGGGAGCUGAGGCAUUCACUUCUGGUCAGCAUUACUGGGAGGUGGCAGACUGUGAUAACUUGACAAUUGGGGUUUGUAAUGAUUCUCGGACAAGGAAGAAUGACAUGGUGGUUGACUUGGAGGGAAUUUUUCUCCUUUUUUGUAUCAAAGAGAACAAUCAGUGCUGUCUCUUUACCUCCUCCCCACCAUUACCUCAGUAUUUACCUCAAUAUGUCAAAAGGCCUCUCGGCCACACAGGGGUGCUCCUAGAUUAUGAAGGUGGUGUGGUGAGCUUUGUCAAUGUGGCCAGCAGUUCCCUCAUUUGUAGUUUUCUCAUGCUCCUUAUCUCCUCUGAAGCCUUUUCUUUGCUCUGGACACCUAUGAUCAGGGGCAAGUGAGAAAUCUGACCACAGGCAUCAGGAAUGUCAAUGACUGAGAUCACUAAGUUAGUGCCUGCCUGAUUUUCUUUAACUUCACCUUCCUUUGUGAAAUGUAUUGAUUGAUUUUAAAGGGUUGAUAUGUUAAUUGUUUAAAUUCCAUUUUCUUUAAAUAAAAAUAUCUCUUGAAACACUGA